RNAcentral lists this ribosomal RNA (2888 nucleotides) under Clostridioides difficile. Its description in RNAcentral is "bacterial LSU rRNA". It matches the Rfam family "Bacterial large subunit ribosomal RNA". Lineage: Bacteria; Bacillati; Bacillota; Clostridia; Peptostreptococcales; Peptostreptococcaceae. RNAcentral also lists the same sequence under 2 other names. The record is from RNAcentral.
UUAAGGGUGCAGGGCGGAUGCCUUGGCACUAGGAGCCGAUGAAGGACGUGAUAAGCUGCGAUAAGCUUCGGGGAGUUGCACGUAAACUUUGAUCCGAAGAUUUCCGAAUGAGGAAACUCACUUAGAGUAAUGUCUAAGUAUCAUUAAGUGAAUACAUAGCUUAAUGAGGGGAACUCAGGGAACUGAAACAUCUAAGUACCUGAAGGAAGAGAAAGAAAUUCGAUUCCGUAAGUAGCGGCGAGCGAACGCGGAUUAGCCCAAACCAAUAAAGUUUUCUUUAUUGGGGUUGCGGACAUAUCAUAACGAAGAGGUAUCGUAAUUGAAGAGGUUUGGAAAGACCCACCACAGAAGGUAAUAGUCCUGUAUGUUAAACGAGAAGACUUUAGAUAUGAUCCAGAGUACCACGGGACACGUGAAACCCUGUGGGAAGCAGGAGGGACCACCCUCCAAGGCUAAAUACUACCUAGUGACCGAUAGCGUAUAGUACCGUGAGGGAAAGGUGAAAAGAACCCCGGGAGGGGAGUGAAAUAGAACCUGAAACCCUGCACUUACAAGCUGUGGAAGCACAUUUCUUGUGUGACCGCGUACUUUUUGUAGAACGGGCCAACGAGUUACGUUAAGUAGCAAGGUUAAGCACUUAAGGUGCGGAGCCGUAGCGAAAGCGAGUUUUAACUGAGCGUUCAGUUACUUGACGUAGACCCGAAACCGGGCGACCUACCCAUGAGCAGGAUGAAGCGAAAGUAAAAUUUCGUGGAGGUCCGAACCCACGAGCGUUGAAAAGCUCGGGGAUGACUUGUGGGUAGCGGUGAAAUUCCAAUCGAGCCCGGAGAUAGCUGGUUCUCCCCGAAAUAGCUUUAGGGCUAGCCUCAAGGUGAGAGAUACGGAGGUAGAGCACUGAAUGUCCUAGGGGGUAUUGCACCUACCGAAGACUAUCAAACUCCGAAUGCCGUCAUCUUAUACUUGGGAGUCAGACUGUGGGUGAUAAGAUUCAUAGUCGAAAGGGCAACAGCCCAGAUCGUCAGCUAAGGUCCCUAAAUGUAAGUUAAGUGGUAAAGGAUGUGGGAUUGCACAGACAACCAGGAUGUUGGCUUAGAAGCAGCCACUCAUUCAAAGAGUGCGUAAUAGCUCACUGGUCGAGUGAUCCUGCGCCGAAGAUUUCCGGGGCUAAAACUUACUACCGAAGCUACGGCAUCAGUAAUGAUGGGUAGGGGAGCUUCCCAUACGGGUUGAAGCAUGACCGUAAGGACAUGUGGACAGUAUGGGAGUGAGAAUGUUGGCAUGAGUAGCGAGAUGUGGGUGAGAAUCCCACAGGCCGUAAACCCAAGGUUUCCAGGGGAAGGUUCGUCCGCCCUGGGUUAGUCGGGACCUAAGCUGAGGCCGAAAGGCGUAGGUGAUGGACAACAGGUUGAUAUUCCUGUACUACCGAUAACCGUUUGAGAGAAGGGAUGACACAGUAGGAUAAGCUAAGCACACUGUUGGUUAUGUGUGCCCAAGCAUUGAGGCAGUCAAAGUAGGCAAAUCCGCUUUGAUAAUGCUGGGAUGUGAUGGGGAGCGAAAUUUAGUAGCGAAGUAGCUGAUUUCACACUGUCAAGAAAAGUCUCUAUCGAGGUUAAAGGUACCCGUACCGCAAACCGACACAGGUGGGUGAGGAGAGUAUCCUAAGGCCAGCGAGAGAACUGUUGUUAAGGAACUCGGCAAAAUGACCCCGUAACUUAGGGAUAAGGGGUGCCACCAUCAGGUGGCCGCAGAGAAUAGGCCCAAGCGACUGUUUACCAAAAACAUAGGUUUCUGCUAAGUCGCAAGACGAUGUAUAGGAGCUGACGCCUGCCCGGUGCUGGAAGGUUAAGGGGAUCUGUUAGAGCAAUCGAAGCAGUGAACUUAAGCCCCAGUAAACGGCGGCCGUAACUAUAACGGUCCUAAGGUAGCGAAAUUCCUUGUCGGGUAAGUUCCGACCCGCACGAAAGGCGUAACGAUUUGGGCACUGUCUCAACAACAGACUCGGUGAAAUUGUAAUUCCGGUGAAGAUGCCGGAUACCUGCGACAGGACGGAAAGACCCCAUGGAGCUUUACUGUAGCUUGACAUUGGGUCUUGGUACUACAUGUACAGGAUAGGUGGGAGGCUUUGAAACCAGGACGCCAGUUUUGGCGGAGCCAUCCUUGGGAUACCACCCUUGUAGUACUGGGACUCUAACCAUAGGCCAUGAAUCUGGUCUUGGGACACUGUCAGGUGGGCAGUUUGACUGGGGCGGUCGCCUCCCAAAAGGUAACGGAGGCGCUCAAAGGUUCUCUCAGUACGGUCGGAAAUCGUACGUAGAGUGUAAAGGCAAAAGAGAGCUUGAUUGCAAGACAUACAGGUCGAGCAAGGAUGAAAAUCGGACUUAGUGAUCCGGUGGUUCUGCGUGGAAGGGCCAUCGCUCAACGGAUAAAAGCUACCCUGGGGAUAACAGGCUUAUCUCCCCCAAGAGUCCACAUCGACGGGGAGGUUUGGCACCUCGAUGUCGGCUCAUCACAUCCUGGGGCUGUAGUAGGUCCCAAGGGUUGGGCUGUUCGCCCAUUAAAGUGGUACGCGAGCUGGGUUCAGAACGUCGUGAGACAGUUCGGUCCCUAUCCGUCGCAGGCGUAGGAAAUUUGAGAAGACCUGUCCUUAGUACGAGAGGACCGGGAUGGACGUACCUCUGGUGUACCAGUUGUCCUGCCAAGGGCAUGGCUGGGUAGCUAUGUACGGAAUGGAUAAGCGCUGAAAGCAUCUAAGCGCGAAGCCAACUUCAAGAUAAGAUUUCCCACCGCAAGGGUAAGACCCCAGAAAGACUAUCUGGUUGAUAGGUCGAAGGUGUAAGUGCAGCAAUGUAUUUAGCUUAUCGAUACUAAUAGGUCGAGGACUUGACCAA